AUGUCCCUUUGAUUUUAAUUUAAGGUCUGAUCUGCUCAAUGAUGAUUUAAAUUGCCGCAGUAUUUUGACUGUGCAAAGGUAGCAUAAUAAUUAGCUUCUUGAUUAGAAGCUGGAAUGAAUGAUUGGACGAGAAAAUUUCUGUCUCUAUUUAAUUGUUUGUUGAAUUUUAUUUUUAAGUUAAAAAGCUUAAAUGUGUGUAAAAGACGAGAAGACCCUAUAGAGUUUAAUAUUUAAAUUUUAUUUUAUAUUAGGAUUUUUUUUGAGAUUUGAGUAUUUAAUUGGGGUGAUUUAAAGAUUUAAAUAAUUCUUUAAUUUUUUAAUUGAUGAUAAUUAAAUUAUAAACCUAUAGUUUUAAUUUUAAUAUAAAUUACCUUAGGGAUAACAGCGUAAUUUUUCUUUAAAGUUUUUAUUAAAAGAAGAUUUUGCGACCUCGAUGUUGGAUUAAAAUUAAUUUUUGGUGCAGUAACUUAAAAAUUGGGUCUGUUCGACCCUUAAAAUUUUACAUGAUCUGAGUUUAAACCGGUGUAAGCCAGGUUGGAUUCUAUCUUUAAAUGGAUUAUAUAUUUUAGUACGAAAGGACCAAAUAUGUAUUAUAUUAAUUG
Molecule: ribosomal RNA, 602 nt
Filed under: Rhyncheros sp. UPOL LF0467
Lineage: Eukaryota; Metazoa; Arthropoda; Insecta; Coleoptera; Lycidae
Description: partial 16S large subunit ribosomal RNA
Rfam family: Bacterial large subunit ribosomal RNA
Source: RNAcentral